Photinus pyralis (common eastern firefly) is the source of this 1688-nucleotide long non-coding RNA. RefSeq lists it as uncharacterized. The transcript is spliced from 4 exons. The record is from RefSeq and is a predicted model, not a curated record. NCBI's taxonomy places the organism in Eukaryota, Metazoa, Arthropoda, Insecta, Coleoptera, Lampyridae.
AGUGCGGUUGUUUGUGUCCCAUUCGUAUGAAACGAGUUUAUAUUCCACUUGUAAAGGGGUGCGUGCGUGCUGAAGAUGAAACGGCGGAGUUCCGUAAGCGGCGGCGCUACUGGUCAGUAUCGCACCUGGUAGUGGCUGCAGGUCGGCUGGAUCGGAAGAUGAAGUUGCAGCGAAUCGCCUUGUGCUAGCCUGUGGCCGGUAUAUAAAUGGUCGGGCUUGCACGCUAAUGGCUAACCGAGCGGGCCAAUCAGACGACGUUAUUGCGUAGUCUCCGGCGGUCGUCACAGUAUGUAUGCAAUUCAUUUACAAAUUGAAUCGCCUGUACGUGUAUGUGCCUUGUUUGGUACGAAACGCGUUUAUAUUCUCACGUGUAAAGGGUGAGUUUUGAUUUCGAUUUAAGAUUGGGUGGCACAUCAAGAAGUUCUCAUCCUUUUCUUACGAAUACACGUAAUCCUUACAAUCGUUUAGGAGUAGUGGAGAGAUGGGCGUAGGUAGGUACUAUUUUGAAUUUCUUACCUAUAUAUAUACUCUAAACUCUAAAGAGAGCUUUCUAGUGCGACCAAACUGUGUUCAGUGAGUUUGAUAGAGUACUGUUGAUAAAUGAAAUAGGAAAUGAAAUUUAAUUUCAGCUUAGACGUAACUAGUCUUCUAUAUUAACAUGCUUUAAUCCAUACUGUAACUAUAGAAUUUUUUGGAAUUGAUUAAGGACCUUAAAGCAUUCUAGGAUUGGUAGUAAGACAAGCACUAACCAAUGAAAAGAGGGAGAUUCACGUUUUGUCAUUCGAUGACUACGAUCUUCGAGAAAAGAAGAAUUCACGUUUUGACAUUUAAGGCGACCAGUACUGUCCUCUAAGAUAUUAGCAUGUCCCAAUCGUUGGGCUGACCAGAUAGUUUUCACGUGCAACUAUAAGCAACCGAUUUAGGGUCCCGUUCUAAAAAAGUUAAACUGCGUUGACUGAGAAUCAUAAGGUCAGAAAAUUAUGGAAGUUUAAAGUUCGUUAAGAAAUUUGGUAGUUUAUUUAGUAGAACCGCAACAAUUAUUAGGGUGUAUAAAUUAAUGAUCUUUCUAUUACAGUUUUACAAAACUUGACGCUUUGGCGUUUCUUGUCCGAUCAAAAACAUUUUUGAAAUCCCAACUCAACUCAAUAUGAAACUCCCAAAGCAACAAUUACAAGAAUUUCUUGGAAUCCCGUCCUAGCGCCUUAUGACUUCGAUCGUGCCCGAAGAAUUGAGUUAAGGAGCAGCGUUUCCAAACUCGCAAGGAAUUGAAAGAAUUUGUCACAGCUUACCUUCAUUGGCAGCAAAGUUUUAUGAAGAAAGUAUUCACUUAUGCGACAAAUGCCUCUUCGUCAAGGAAGUUUACCGGAAGUUAAAAAAAUAGCCUUCUGUUCCACUUCGUUUGAGAUCGUUCCUCGGAAUACCGUAGUGCAAUUACUACAAAUGGAUUGAGCACAGGCGUUGGCAAAGGCGUUGGUGUCUACCUAUAUAUUCCAUGGUGGGCCAUCUGCAUUACUACAAGAAAGACCACUUGUAAGUUAAGUUUUCAUUGUUUUUUUGCUGGGGGAGACUAUGUCGUGUGAUGAACUAGUGCCAGCUGCCAGCAAAGUGCAGUUAGGGCAGUACAAUAUUAUUCUAGAGAUGAACAAAUUAAAUAAGUUUCUUUUUUUGUAUACAAAGAUCUUCUUGUA